GGUGGCUGAGUGGUAGAGUGCUUGUCUAGCAUGCAUGAAACCCUGGGUUCAAUUCCUAGGACCA
Molecule: transfer RNA, 64 nt
Filed under: Dipodomys ordii (Ord's kangaroo rat)
Lineage: Eukaryota; Metazoa; Chordata; Mammalia; Rodentia; Heteromyidae
Rfam family: tRNA
About the family: Transfer RNA (tRNA) molecules are approximately 80 nucleotides in length.
Source: Rfam by way of RNAcentral